CCUUUAAGGGUCCUGAAGGAACGUUGAAGACGACGACGUUGAUAGGCCGGGUGUGUAAGCGCAGCGAUGCGUUGAGCUAACCGGUACUAAUGAACCGUGAGGCUUAACCUUACAACGCCGAAGGUGUUU
Molecule: ribosomal RNA, 129 nt
Filed under: Escherichia coli
Lineage: Bacteria; Pseudomonadati; Pseudomonadota; Gammaproteobacteria; Enterobacterales; Enterobacteriaceae
Description: partial 23S ribosomal RNA
Rfam family: Bacterial large subunit ribosomal RNA (bases 1-111)
Source: RNAcentral